This 60-nucleotide transfer RNA is filed under the name Micronychus sp. UPOL MT0027. RNAcentral describes it as "partial tRNA-Ser". RNAcentral also lists the same sequence under 1 other name. The record is from RNAcentral. Lineage: Eukaryota; Metazoa; Arthropoda; Insecta; Coleoptera; Lycidae.
AAAGAAAUAUUUUAAAAAGAAGCUUCUAACUUCUUAAAGAGCAAAAUUAUUGUUCAUAUU